Long non-coding RNA from Helianthus annuus (common sunflower), 385 nucleotides. RefSeq lists it as uncharacterized. Lineage: Eukaryota; Viridiplantae; Streptophyta; Magnoliopsida; Asterales; Asteraceae. The record is from RefSeq and is a predicted model, not a curated record. The transcript has 3 exons.
UACGCUUUCUUCAAUUUGGAAAGUAAUCAAUUCUCUCAAUCAAUUGAAAUCAUUCUCCAGGCAAAUUGAUUUCUCUUUACAAACAUCACACAUUUUGCUCUAGCUAUCAUCUUUCACCCACAUUCAAUUUUACAAACCCUAAUUAUCAUAUAGGGUGAUUCUCAUCAAAGUGAUUAUUGGAAGCCCUAAAUUGUAACCAGUGGAAUUGAAUCCAGCCGUCCAUUGAGAAACCCUAAAAUCUUCAGAAAAGUUUGAAGCUUGAGAGAUAGAGACAAUGGAAACAAGUGGUGGUUGGAGCCAUCCAUCCAUGUUUUAUCAUCUUUCCAUCAGUCAACAAAUGGUAAGUCGUAGGUGUUUUGAUUCAUCUGAAUUUCAAUUGAAUGUU